CAGGGACAGUGCCUCUCCCUGAGCUGCCAGCAGACAGAGCCCCAGGAAUCUAGACUUCAUUCUGUACUCGAAAAUUUGGCCGUUAUCCAAUUUUUCUUACGGAUUAUAGGAGAACAGCCAGCUGCUCGCUGUGCUAGGCACAUUUGGAUUGACCUGGAGAAUUACUACUGUAUGAGGUGCAUUUCACUUACCUCCAGGAUCACAUAAUACAGUUGAAAGGGUAGCAAAGACAGCACAACAGCCAUUCAUAACAACUAUCUGAAACAAGUGGACAAAAUGGUAUCAACAGAACUACCAACACCUUUGUGACUGGUUAGAAGGUAAUACUUAGAAAAGUAAAGAAGAUUGGAUUUGAUAAGAACUUUAUUAAAA
This is a long non-coding RNA of Mauremys mutica (yellowpond turtle), 372 nucleotides long. RefSeq lists it as uncharacterized. The record is from RefSeq and is a predicted model, not a curated record. The transcript has 3 exons. NCBI's taxonomy places the organism in Eukaryota, Metazoa, Chordata, Testudines, Geoemydidae.